GUGCUCACUUUAGCAGCUCAUAUACUAAAAUUGCAACGAUACAGAGAAGAUGAGCGCGGCCCCCUGCGCAAGGGUGACACACAAAUUCGUGAAGCGUUGCAUAUUUUU
Molecule: small nuclear RNA, 108 nt
Organism: Jaculus jaculus (lesser Egyptian jerboa)
Lineage: Eukaryota; Metazoa; Chordata; Mammalia; Rodentia; Dipodidae
Source: RefSeq, a predicted model, not a curated record